This is a non-coding RNA of Arachis ipaensis, 412 nucleotides long. NCBI's taxonomy places the organism in Eukaryota, Viridiplantae, Streptophyta, Magnoliopsida, Fabales, Fabaceae. The record is from RefSeq and is a predicted model, not a curated record.
ACGAGUUCGCGUAGGGAAGAGAGAAAUGCGUCUGAGAGAGAGAACGAGCACGAGAGGAAGGAGACGACCGUUCUCAUCGCUGCUAGAGGUUCCACCGCCGUCGUUGGUGCCAACCGAAGUCACCGCCGCCUUUGCAAGCUUUUUCCCAGGUGUUUUUCGCCGUUGCUGGAGAAACACUUCUAAAACUACUCAGAUCCGCUGGUAACACUACCUUGUACCAUUCUUGUUGCACUCCGAUCGAUUUGAAUCCACCGCUUUUCUUGGUGUUGUGGUCAUUGUUGUUAUAACGGGGAGUUAAUGUUGUUGCUACUGUUGCAGUUCCGGUUGCUGAAGUUUUGAUUUCUAUGAGUUUCAAUACUAAGACACAGUGGCUUGCCACCGCUUGCUCCAGGUUGAGACUCGAUACUCUGUU